Molecule: non-coding RNA, 226 nt
Organism: Schizosaccharomyces pombe (fission yeast)
Lineage: Eukaryota; Fungi; Ascomycota; Schizosaccharomycetes; Schizosaccharomycetales; Schizosaccharomycetaceae
Source: the annotation of a GenBank genome assembly
UCAAACUCUUAUGUCUAAAUCUCUGCUUCAAACCUAUUCUUGCUUCUAAACUCAAUCUUCUUUCUCGACUUUUUCGGGAGUCACUUUUUUAAACAAAUACUAAUAAAGUAAAUUGCUAGAGAUACCUUUAUUCACCUGCUCGUCUUUGCCAAUUGCAAAGUACCUAAUUGGCGGAUUCCGAUCGAUACAUAGUAUGGUGGAAUCUAAAAUUUUUAUACUUACAGCA